CCCAAAUUAACUUCUUUCCCCCUUACCCUCAUUCAGUUAUCCUCUCCACCCUUUAAUCUUUCACAUUCGUAAAGGUCCUUUCAACCUCUCAAUUUCCUCCAUUUCAUCACUUCUGGUGAAAUGGAUGCUAAUUGAUGAGACUAGGUUAGGUGUUGAUUUGAGAUCAAAGUUUUAUUAUUACAGAGACACUCAUGAAAUUUGUUCACUUUGGAUGGAAUAACGAGUUUGAAUAUGCUCCAACAAGCAAGGAAAUUCAAUGAGGUAAUGUUUCAUUGGGUAUGAAUAAGGGUGUAA
Helianthus annuus (common sunflower) is the source of this 294-nucleotide long non-coding RNA. RefSeq lists it as uncharacterized. NCBI's taxonomy places the organism in Eukaryota, Viridiplantae, Streptophyta, Magnoliopsida, Asterales, Asteraceae. The record is from RefSeq and is a predicted model, not a curated record. The transcript has 3 exons.